Molecule: long non-coding RNA, 501 nt
Filed under: Dromaius novaehollandiae (emu)
Lineage: Eukaryota; Metazoa; Chordata; Aves; Casuariiformes; Dromaiidae
Description: lncRNA (ENSDNVG00000016235.1)
Source: RNAcentral
AGAGCAACUGGGUCUGAAGCAGUCGGUGACAGCAGUGUGUAUGUGGGAGAUGCUAAAGGGGUUUUCAGAUGGAGUUUGACUAGCUUAGAAAGGAGAUUUUGUGUGUAGCAGUAGUAUGGGCCCAAGGUAGUGCUCACAUUUAGCUUCUGUCAGGGUUUUACGUUUCAUGCCCUCGAAUGUGCCAGCCCAGUUCCCCUUCAAUCUGCUUGAAACGCACCUGCAGAAAUCCUGCACUCUUUCUAGGUUCCUGCCAACGUUUGACCCUUGCGGGUGACUUCUCCUCUUCUGCGUCAGAUGUAAGCUGCUUUCCCACACCUUGGCCGGCUGCGGCCACGUGCCGAGCUGUCCCCUCCCUCCUUGCUUCCUUGGCCGCUCCUUCGGCAGCCCUCUGCUCUGGCCCAGAUGUUCUGAUUAAAUUUAACCUAUGGAGUUGGAGAAAUCCAGCUGUAGAAAAGCGGAAGAGGUAAAUUACAACAGAAUGUAUCCUUCAAAUGCUGAAUC